GCCAGACUCCUCGGGAGGCAGCAGUGAGGAAUAUUGGUCAAUGGGCGCGAGCCUGAACCAGCCAAGUCGCGUGAGGGAUGACGGCCCUACGGGUUGUAAACCUCUUUUGUCGGGGAGCAAAUUCCGUUACGUGUAACGGAGUCGAGAGUACCCGAAGAAAAAGCAUCGGCUAACUCCGUGCCAGCAGCCGCGGUAAUACGGAGGGUGCAAGCGUUGUCCGGAAUCAUUGGGCGUAAAGAGUUCGUAGGCGGUAUGUUAAGUCUGGUGUUAAAUGCAGAAGCUCAACUUCUGUUCGGCACUGGAUACUGGCAAACUAGAAUGCGGUAGAGGUAAAGGGAAUUCCUGGUGUAGCGGUGAAAUGCUUAGAUAUCAGGAGGAACAUCGGUGGCGUAAGCGCUUUACUGGGCCGUAAUUGACGCUGAGGAACGAAAGCCAGGGUAGCAAAUGGGAUUAGAUACCCUAGUA
RNAcentral lists this ribosomal RNA (465 nucleotides) under uncultured bacterium. RNAcentral describes it as "bacterial SSU rRNA". It matches the Rfam family "Bacterial small subunit ribosomal RNA", at positions 330 to 792 of the family's 1533-position model. The record is from RNAcentral.